Molecule: long non-coding RNA, 219 nt
Filed under: Capsicum annuum
Lineage: Eukaryota; Viridiplantae; Streptophyta; Magnoliopsida; Solanales; Solanaceae
Description: long non-coding RNA (CANN_LNC015978)
Source: RNAcentral
GAUUAUGGUUGAUAGGUGUUCAGAUGAUAGUUGUGGACACGGUAUUGGUCCCUUCAGCUUUGACCCUGGGUUUCAUUUAUCAUUAUGAUUUUGGAUGAUCUACUUAGUAGGAGUAAUAUUCAUGAGUUGGAUUCAACAUAGUGUUACCCCUAAUUGGUGGGGCAUCCUGGAGAGGAUCUUUCAUUAGAUAGCAUUUGUACUUUAGACUCUUGGCUGGCA